This 981-nucleotide long non-coding RNA is filed under the name Mytilus galloprovincialis (Mediterranean mussel). Lineage: Eukaryota; Metazoa; Mollusca; Bivalvia; Mytilida; Mytilidae. The record is from RNAcentral.
CAUGAUUACAUAAUUUUAUUCAAGAAAAAACAUGUGUAUACAUUUGAAUACAAAAACAGUGUAAAAUUUUAUUAAGAAAUAAUUGAUGAUUAAAAAUUUUACGUAUAAAACAAACCAUUUCAGAUAUGAUUUUUUUUAACAUUGCUCAAGGUGACCUCAUAAAAAGCAACUAAGGCACUUCUCUUCAUUUUCUAUACUUCAAAGACAAGUUGUAAAUAUCUGUGUGAAGUCAAGGGAAAAUGUCCAGAUCAUAAGGCUAAAUUUUAAAAAAAGAUGACCAAGACAUUUAAAAGAUAUGGCAUGCUGACUUAAAGGUUUCAAGGAGCCUGUAUGUUAUCGAUUUUUUACCCAUAAAAUUCAUAAAAUGUAGUAAGAAUAAUUCCAAUUAUCUUAAAACCAAAUGGAAUAAAUAAAUAAAAAUUAUCAUUCAUGGGUAUUAACUCAUAGAGGCUUUGCUUGUUCUGAUGUUUGCCUUCACUGCUACUCUUUGUUUAUUAAAGAUUCCAAAAUAAUAGGCAUAGAUAUAAAAAAAAAAAUAUAUGAUAAAUCAUUCAAAGUCAUUUAACAGUUUUGGUCAAAAUGAACAAAAGGUUGAUGUUGACAUUUUAAAGAUUUCUGUCCCUUUAAUUUUCUAUGUAUCUAAAUCAAAUUACAAGAUGAAACACAAAACUUGCAUUCUACCCCGUGUUUUUUUCAUAGCAUUGUCAGCCAUUUUGGUUGGCAAGCAAGUUUAAAGGACAUGUUUAAAAAAACAUUGAUUCCACCUCUUAAUAUUGGACCAGUUUGGCAAAGAAGUUUCAAAGGAGAAGAUUUUUGUGAAAGUUAUGGAGAACAAAAGAAGACUGAUACAGAGUGAUAAAUAAAACUCACUUAGCCUUCCAGCCAAUGUGAGCUAAAAAGGAAAUGUUUACAAAUUAUAUCAAGACAAUAACCAAAGCAAUUUGAAUCUACCUCUGGUUAAAUAAUUAUUCCAAAAUCAAC